Arabidopsis lyrata subsp. lyrata is the source of this 827-nucleotide long non-coding RNA. RefSeq lists it as uncharacterized. Lineage: Eukaryota; Viridiplantae; Streptophyta; Magnoliopsida; Brassicales; Brassicaceae. The transcript is spliced from 2 exons. The record is from RefSeq and is a predicted model, not a curated record.
CAUUGUCAAUUUCCGGUAGAAAUUGUUCUCUAUCUCUUGCUCCAAAUUGAUGGGUCUGAUGAUCGUUUCCUAAUUUUGUUUUUAUGCGUUGCCCCGUUCGCAGCUGCUAACACACGCGUCUUCUGGGACGUCCUUGAUUUCCCAGUCCCUGAGGAUCGCAAUUUGGAUUCGUUUUAUAGUAAAGUCAAACAUGCUCUUCGGAUUGAGGGUUAUAUUGGUGACCUGUCAAUCUAUGCUUAUGGUGGUGUGGAUGCAAAAUGGAUCGACUUUUACAGUUCCAAUAUCGAGCUUGUACACAGAGCGGCUGAAAAGCAUGUGAGACUCAGUAAGAUGCUAGUGGACAUGCUUUACUGGGCAUUCUACAAUCUUAUGGAUGAACGACCAAAUAUGGAAACAAAUUUUCUCAUAGUUGCAAAAGACAUCCCAGAGAAAAACACGGACUUUUUCAAUGUCCUUGCAACUUUGAUGGCCAGAGAGUACAAUGUUUCCUUAGUAGUCCCUCUGACCAAGGUUUGUAUCGUUUUUUUUUUUGCGGUCCAACUAACAUAUCAACGAGUGCGAGCUAAAUUACAUUGACAACCAGUGGCAGUGUCCCUAGCCUCGCUCUCUAAAUUUUACUUGAUAGUGAUUGAUGCAAAACUCACUAUGAAUACUGUGGUUGCGGUUGCUUACAUAGCUUCACAAACUUCACAUAUUUAUAAUUAAGAAGUUGGUUGUUUUUGUCAUCCUUGCAUAUGUACAACUCUCCUGAGACAUGAAGACAAUUUGAUUCUCGGUCAGAGAAGAGAGAGGAAUAGGCUAUAGAGAAACUUUGACAUCUACAAAAA